RNAcentral lists this long non-coding RNA (786 nucleotides) under Callithrix jacchus (white-tufted-ear marmoset). Its description in RNAcentral is "lncRNA (ENSCJAG00000085347.1)". The record is from RNAcentral. Lineage: Eukaryota; Metazoa; Chordata; Mammalia; Primates; Cebidae.
AGUGCCCUUAUGAAGAAAUUAUGAAAGCUUACUCUCUAGCUUGCUCUCUCUCUCUCUCUGCCUGCUACAGGAGGAUACCCCAAGAAGACAGCUGUCUGCAAACCAGGAAGAAGCCCUUUACUAGACACUGGAUCUGCUGGUGCCUUGAGCUUGAACUUCCUAGCCUAAAACUAGUCUCACUUUGUCAUCACGCUGGUGUGCGGUGGUGCAAUCUUGCUGACCGCAAGUUCUGCCUCCCAGGUUCAAGCGAUUCUCCUGCCUCUCGAGUAGCUGUAAGUACAGGUGUGUGCCACCACACCCACCUUAUUUUUGUAUUUUUAGUAGAGACGGGGUUUUACCGUGUUGGCCAGGCUGGGACUGUUGUAAUUCUGAAUCACAAGAUGUGUGCCCAACCUUCCUAUCUUUAAUUACAGAAUUAAUUCAUGGGGAUUUAUGCAUUAUUAGUCAUAGAAAAUUUUUUUACGAAAAAGAGUUGAAGAAGAGCUAGUAGAAAAAGUUAUUUGAUUUUUAUAUCAGAAUCAGCGUUGACCUUUCUCUUCCUGAAAACUCUUCUGCAGUUUCACAGUUAAAAUGAAGCAUACAAGGGUCAGAUACAGUGUCAUCAUUAAUACCACAAAAUAGAACACACUGGAAAUUGAGAAAAUAGCAGAAGCAAGAAGGUCAUUCUCAGCCUCCUCUCACUCUUCUUCCCUGAAGCAGGUCAAACCGCCUAGGAAGGUCACUGUCUGACCUUCACCCUCUCUUCUCCCUUAAAGAACUUCCUGUGACAGGUAUCCUGCUCUAUAC